ACUUUUCAUUAGGAAGAUGGAAAAGACACACACAGACAGCCGCGUGGCUUGGAUGCUCGACUUUGAGUCUCGUGGGUGUUUGGUUGGAGGAGCUGGAAGUUGGGCUUUCUGGAUCCACGGCUGACAGGGCAGCUGUGCUGCACAGUCCAGCUCAGCGCUCGCAGCUGUGAGGACACAGCGACUGCAGCAGUCAUGGCUGCUGGCUUCCUAAUUACAAGAUUAUUGCUGGUCUGUUUGUUGAGUGAGGUGAACUACUCCUCAGCUUUUCCAAGAGCCAGAAGUUUUGUGCAACCGAGAGUGUGGCAAAGUGAAGGAGAGGAAGAAGCCUACAACUAUGAGAACUGUCAUCCUUUCUACUACAUCAGUGCCCAGGACAAAACAUUGGAAA
This is a non-coding RNA of Maylandia zebra (zebra mbuna), 388 nucleotides long. NCBI's taxonomy places the organism in Eukaryota, Metazoa, Chordata, Actinopteri, Cichliformes, Cichlidae. The record is from RefSeq and is a predicted model, not a curated record.